Molecule: ribosomal RNA, 253 nt
Filed under: uncultured bacterium
Lineage: Bacteria
Description: partial 16S ribosomal RNA
Rfam family: Bacterial small subunit ribosomal RNA
Source: RNAcentral
UACGUAGGGUGCAAGCGUUGUCCGGAAUUAUUGGGCGUAAAGAGCUCGUAGGCGGUUUGUCGCGUCUGGUGUGAAAAUCCAGGGCUUAACCCUGGACCUGCAUCGGGUACGGGCAGACUAGAGUGCGGUAGGGGAGAUCGGAAUUCCUGGUGUAGCGGUGAAAUGCGCAGAUAUCAGGAGGAACACCGGUGGCGAAGGCGGGUCUCUGGGCCGAUACUGACGCUGAGGAGCGAAAGCGUGGGGAGCAAACAGG